GAAAGAUCGGGCAGAUGCCCGGUUGGGGAUAUUUAAAAUCCCCCAAUCAAUUAGU
RNAcentral lists this non-coding RNA (55 nucleotides) under unclassified sequences. The record is from RNAcentral.